Molecule: ribosomal RNA, 194 nt
Filed under: uncultured bacterium
Lineage: Bacteria
Description: partial 16S ribosomal RNA
Rfam family: Bacterial small subunit ribosomal RNA
Source: RNAcentral
UGAAAUUCGCCUUCAUGAAGCUGGAAUUGCUAGUAAUGGCAGGUCAGCAUACUGCCGUGAAUACGUUCCCGGGCCUUGUACACACCGCCCGUCACACCAUGAGAGUUGGGAAUACCCGAAGCCUGUGAGCUAACUUAUAGAGGCAGCAGUCGAAGGUAGAAUCAAUGAUUGGGGUGAAGUCGUAACAAGGUAAC